RNAcentral lists this ribosomal RNA (460 nucleotides) under uncultured bacterium. Its description in RNAcentral is "partial 16S ribosomal RNA". It matches the Rfam family "Bacterial small subunit ribosomal RNA", at positions 338 to 795 of the family's 1533-position model. The record is from RNAcentral.
CCUACGGGGGGCUGCAGUGAGGAAUAUUUGUCAAUGGGCGCGAGCCUGAACCAGCCAAGUAGCGUGAAGGAUGACUGCCCUACGGGUUGUAAACUUCUUUUAUAAAGGAAUAAAGUGAGGCACGUGUGCCUUUUUGUAUGUACUUUAUGAAUACGGAUCGGCUAACUCCGUGCCAGCAGCCGCGGUAAUACGGAGGAUCCAACCGUUCUCCGGAUUUAUUCGGUUUAAAGGGAGCGUAGAUGGGUUGUUAAGUCGGUUGUGAAAGGGUGCGGCUCAACCGUAAAAUUGCAAUUGAUACUGGCAGUCUGGAGUACAGGUGAGGUAAGCGGAAUUCGUGGUGUAGCGGUGAAAUGCGUAGAUAUCACGAAGAACUCCGAUUGCGAAGGCAGCUUACUAGACUGCAACUGACAUUGAUGCUCGAAAGUGUGGGUAGCAAACAGGAUUAGAUACCCCAGUAGUC